UAGGGGAAUCUUCGGCAAUGGACGAAAGUCUGACCGAGCAACGCCGCGUGAGUGAAGAAGGUUUUCGGAUCGUAAAACUCUGUUGGUAGAGAAGAACGUUAGUGAGAGUGGAAAGCUCAUCAAGUGACGGUAACUACCCAGAAAGGGACGGCUAACUACGUGCCAG
This 166-nucleotide ribosomal RNA is filed under the name uncultured bacterium. Its description in RNAcentral is "partial 16S rRNA". It matches the Rfam family "Bacterial small subunit ribosomal RNA", at positions 354 to 511 of the family's 1533-position model. The record is from RNAcentral.